This 2771-nucleotide ribosomal RNA is filed under the name Drosophila virilis. RNAcentral describes it as "eukaryotic LSU rRNA". The stretch from base 1578 to 2771 matches the Rfam family "Eukaryotic large subunit ribosomal RNA", at positions 1891 to 3320 of the family's 3401-position model. Lineage: Eukaryota; Metazoa; Arthropoda; Insecta; Diptera; Drosophilidae. The record is from RNAcentral.
CAAGUUCCGCUUAAUGCAUUUAAUGAUUUGAAUGUGGAUGAGCAGGUCGUAUGUGUGAAUGGGUGGAUAACUGGUGCGAAUGAUCGCAUGUUUGAGAGGUACCGUAAGGUCAACCUUAAGCAUGUGAGUGGUGGACAAGACAGUGUCAAUGCUGCUCAAGGGCAGAUUGGCAACUAGUCGGCCACCCAUUGUCAGACUGAAUGGAGUGAAUGUGAGGUAUGCAUCUGAGGUGAAAUACCUCGGCAUAACCUUCGGCGAGAGGAUGUGUUUCACUCCUCAUAUCGCUGGUCUCAAGGCCCGGCUACUUGGUUUGGUGGGGCAAGUGCGUCGUAUUUUGAGGUCUGACUGGGGCCUAAGCAGACGUGCUGUCCGCACCAUCUAUGAGGGUCUGUUUGUUGCCUGUGCAGCAUAUGGAUCGUCUGUAUGGUGCAAGGCGGUCACGACUGUGGUCGGCAGAAAGAAAGUACUGGCUUGCCAGAGAGUGCUUCUGUUAGGUUGUUUGCCUGUGUGCCGCACUGUCUCUACGGAGGCAAUGCAGGUACUGUUAGGAGUAGCCCCUCUUGACUUGGAGAUCAGGCGUCGAGCCUUGAUGUACAGGAUCAAGAGGCGGCUGCCAUUGCUGCAGAAUGAUUGGCUAGCGGGUAGGGAUGUGGAGAGUUUAGGGCUUAAUGAAUGCAAGAGAUUAGCGAAAGAGUGUCUUUUGUCUGACUGGCAAGUCAGAUGGGACACUAGCGUGAAUGGGCGUGUCACUCAUCGGUUUAUACGGGAGGUUACAUUUGCCGGCAGCCGACCAGACUUUGGGUUCGGCCUGAGUCUUGGAUUCCUGUUGACUGGUCACGGUUCCCUCAAAUGCAUUCCUGCAUUCGAGGAACCUUUAUGACAGUCCAGAAUGCCGUUGUGGCUCGGCUGCUGAGACAUGGGAGCAUGUUCUCUGUGAGUGCACAAGGUAUGCAGAUCUUCGAGAUCUGAGGGGGAUGGGUAUAAGUGAGGUUAGUGGCGGGUUUGACGUAAGUCAAUCACUCUCCACUAGUGAUAGGGUUAGAAGAAUGAGUGAGUUUGCUAGAGCUGCAUUUUCCAGGCGACGUUUGCAAUUGCAGGAAGGAAUUGUAUGAAUGAUGAUGGAUGGUAUAUGUGGGAAUGUGGUGGUACGAACGUGGGGGUGUGUCUGAAUGAUAAUUUUUGUUGAACAUUGUGUUGUGUUGGGGCUACCAACCCUUAACUAUUUUGGAGUUUAAAUUGGAAGUGCCCUUCUGGUACGAGGCCUGACCAGAGGCUUUUAAUCUGGUACCACGGGUAACCAGGAGCCCACGGAACUUGUUCCGUCCUGGUAAGUUGGUGCGGCCCUUCGGGGAGUAUCGUGGUGGUUGUGGUUUAACACCCAAAUGCGGGUAGAGCAUCGCUCGACGUGGAGUUGCGUCAUACAACCGGGUUCCGUGACCCAGAUUACGGAAGAGGCUUAGGUAGUCCUCGUGCCAAAUCAAGGUAGAAGUCACAACCAAACAGUCGUGUCUUUUAUUGGUACCUGCGGAAUUGAUGUUCCAAGGGGGCGGUGAUUGACGCUUGAAUUAAUCCUAUACUAGGAACCGUGAGAUUAAGCCAUCGCGGCAGGUGCUCACGUUAAGCCCACCGACUUUCAUGUCCCUAUCUACUAUCUAGCGAAACCACAGCCAAGGGAACGGGCUUGGAAUAAUUAGCGGGGAAAGAAGACCCUUUUGAGCUUGACUCUAAUCUGGCAGUGUAAGGAGACAUAAGAGGUGUAGAAUAAGUGGGAGAUAUUAGACUUCGGUUUUGGUAUCGACAAUGAAAUACCACUACUCUUAUUGUUUCCUUACUUACUUGAUUAAAUGCAACGUGUAUCAUUUCCUAGCCAUUAUACGGAUAUAAUUAUUGUCUUAUGGUAUUGGGUUUUGAUGCAAGCUUCUUGAUCAAAGUAUCACGAGUUUGUUAUAUAAUCGCAAACAAAUUCUUUAAUGAGAGAAUGCAUUUAUGUAUUAUUGAUUUAAGAAUUUGGUAUAACUCCAAUUACUCAAGUAUAAUCCAAUUCAAGGACAUUGCCAGGUAGGGAGUUUGACUGGGGCGGUACAUCUCUCAAAUAUUAACGGAGGUGUCCCAAGGCCAGCUCAGUGCGGACAGAAACCACACAUAGGGCAAAAGGGCAAAUGCUGACUUGAUCUCGGUGUUCACUACACACAGGGACAGCAAAAGCUCGGCCUAUCGAUCCUUUUGGUUUAAAGAGUUAUUAACAAGAGGUGUCAGAAAAGUUACCAUAGGGAUAACUGGCUUGUGGCGGCCAAGCGUUCAUAGCGACGUCGCUUUUUGAUCCUUCGAUGUCGGCUCUUCCUAUCAUUGUGAAGCAAAAUUCACCAAGCGUUGGAUUGUUCACCCAUGCAAGGGAACGUGAGCUGGGUUAAGAGCGUCGUGAGACAGGUUAGUUUUACCCUACUAAUGACAAAACGUUGUUGCGACAGCAUUCCUGCGUAGUACGAGAGGAACCGCAGGUACGGACCAAUGGCACAAUACUUGUUCAAGCGAACAGUGGUAUGACGCUACGUCCGUUGGAUUAUGCCUGAAAGCCUCUAAGGUCGUAUCCGUGCUGGACUGCAAUGAUAAAUAAGGGGCAAUUUGCAUUGUAUGGCUUCUAAACCAUUAAAAGUUUUUAAUUUGUUUUAUUAACGAAAAUGGAUGUGAUGCCAAUGUUAUUUAUAACAUAGUAAAUUGGGAGGAUCUUCGAUCACCUGAUGCCGCGCUAGUUAUAUUUUAAAGCAUUAUUU